UGAGUAUUAGGCAAAUCCGGUACUCGUUAAGGCUGAGCUGUGAUGGGGAGAAGACAUUGUGUCUUCGAGUCGUUGAUUUCACACUGCCGAGAAAAGCCUCUAGAUAGAAAAUAGGUGCCCGUACCGCAAACCGACACAGGUAGUCAAGAUGAGAAUUCUAAGGUGAGCGAGCGAACUCUCGUUAAGGAACUCGGCAAAAUGACCCCGUAACUUCGGGAGAAGGGGUGCUCUUUAGGGUUAACGCCCAGAAGAGCCGCAGUGAAUAGGCCCAAGCGACUGUUUAUCAAAAACACAGGUCUCUGCUAAACCGUAAGGUGAUGUAUAGGGGCUGACGCCUGCCCGGUGCUGGAAGGUUAAGAGGAGUGGUUAGCUUCUGCGAAGCUACGAAUCGAAGCCCCAGUAAACGGCGGCCGUAACUAUAACGGUCCUAAGGUAGCGAAAUUCCUUGUCGGGUAAGUUCCGACCCGCACGAAAGGCGUAACGAUUUGGGCACUGUCUCAACGAGAGACUCGGUGAAAUCAUAGUACCUGUGAAGAUGCAGGUUACCCGCGACAGGACGGAAAGACCCCGUGGAGCUUUACUGUAGCCUGAUAUUGAAAUUCGGCACAGCUUGUACAGGAUAGGUAGGAGCCUUUGAAACGUGAGCGCUAGCUUACGUGGAGGCGCUGGUGGGAUACUACCCUAGCUGUGUUGGCUUUCUAACCCGCACCACUUAUCGUGGUGGGAGACAGUGUCAGGCGGGCAGUUUGACUGGGGCGGUCGCCUCCUAAAAGGUAACGGAGGCGCUCAAAGGUUCCCUCAGAAUGGUUGGAAAUCAUUCAUAGAGUGUAAAGGCAUAAGGGAGCUUGACUGCGAGACCUACAAGUCGAG
RNAcentral lists this ribosomal RNA (870 nucleotides) under Staphylococcus aureus. Its description in RNAcentral is "partial 23S ribosomal RNA". It matches the Rfam family "Bacterial large subunit ribosomal RNA", at positions 1526 to 2393 of the family's 2925-position model. Lineage: Bacteria; Bacillati; Bacillota; Bacilli; Caryophanales; Staphylococcaceae. The record is from RNAcentral.